AUUGAACGCUGGCGGCAGGCCUAACACAUGCAAGUCGAGCGGAUGAAGAGAGCUUGCUCUCUGAUUCAGCGGCGGACGGGUGAGUAAUGCCUAGGAAUCUGCCUGGUAGUGGGGGACAACGUUUCGAAAGGAACGCUAAUACCGCAUACGUACUACGGGAGAAAGGGGGGGAUCUUCGGACCUCACGCUAUCAGAUGAGCCUAGGUACGAUUAGCUAGUUGGUGAGGUAAAGGCUCACCAAGGCGACGAUCGGUAACUGGUCUGAGAGGAUGAUCCGUCACACUGGACCUGAGACACGGUCCAGACUCCUACGGGAGGCAGCAGUGGGGAAUAUUGGAAAAGGGGCGAAAGCCUGAUCCAGCCAUGCCGCGUGUGUGAAGAAGGUCUUCGGAUUGUAAAGCACUUUAAGUUGGGAGGAAGGGCAGUAAGUUAAUACCUUGCUGUUUUGACGUUACCGACAGAAUAAGCACCGGCUAACUUCGUGCCAGCCGCCGCGGUAA
RNAcentral lists this ribosomal RNA (500 nucleotides) under uncultured bacterium. RNAcentral describes it as "partial 16S ribosomal RNA". It matches the Rfam family "Bacterial small subunit ribosomal RNA", at positions 30 to 523 of the family's 1533-position model. The record is from RNAcentral.